RNAcentral lists this small RNA (85 nucleotides) under Flavobacterium succinicans. RNAcentral describes it as "Flavo-1 RNA". It matches the Rfam family "Flavo-1 RNA". The record is from Rfam by way of RNAcentral. Lineage: Bacteria; Pseudomonadati; Bacteroidota; Flavobacteriia; Flavobacteriales; Flavobacteriaceae.
CUUUAGCCCCGAUUGCAGUGGAAAUCCUUUUUUUCUACCUUAUUUUAGGUAGAAAAAAAGAUUGUAGCGGAAAGCGGGAAACUUG